Molecule: small RNA, 75 nt
Organism: Xanthomonas oryzae pv. oryzae
Lineage: Bacteria; Pseudomonadati; Pseudomonadota; Gammaproteobacteria; Lysobacterales; Lysobacteraceae
Rfam family: Xanthomonas sRNA sX9
Source: Rfam
AUGUGGUGCUCGUACACUCCGGUUCCCGCCCGCCGUCCGCACCCACGUCGCAGUUGCUCGCUACGUUGUUUAGCC